This 842-nucleotide long non-coding RNA is filed under the name Homo sapiens (human). RNAcentral's name for it is "non-protein coding lnc-HSD11B1-1:1". Lineage: Eukaryota; Metazoa; Chordata; Mammalia; Primates; Hominidae. The record is from RNAcentral.
CUGAUGUGGCCGUGGGGCUGUUCGCCUUCCCCUUUGCCAUCAUCAUCAGCCUGGGUUCUGCACUGACUUCCACAGCCACCUCUUUCUUGCCUGCUUCAUGCUUGUGCUCACACAGAGCUCCAUCUUCAGCCUCCUGUCCAUGGCCAUCAACAGGUACCUGGCCAGCCACAGUCGGCUCAGGCAUAAAAGUUUAGUCACUGGGACCCAAACAAGAGGGGUUACUGCUGUCCUCUGGGUCCUUGCCUUUGGCACUGGACUGACCCCAUUCCUGGAGUGGAACAGUAAAGACAGUACCUCUAAUAACUGCAUGGAGCCCUGGGAUGGAACCAUGAAUGAAAGCUGCUGCCUUGUGAAGUGUCUCUUUCAGAAUGCGGUACCCAUGAGUUACAUGGUAUAUUUCAGUUUUGGGGGGUAAGUCCUGCCCCCACUGCUCGUAAUGUGGCUGAUCUCCAUCAAGUUCUUCACAGUGACUGCAGGCAGCUUUAGUACACGGAGCUGAUGGACCACUCAAGGACCACCCUCCAGUGGGAGAUAUACACAGCCAAGUCGCUGGCUGUGAUGGUGGGGAUGUUUGCUCUGUGCUCGCUACCAGUGCGCACCAUGGACUGUGUCACUCUUUUUCAGCUAGCUCAGGCUAAAGAUAAGCCCAAGUGGGCAAGGAAGAUGACCAUUCUCUUGUCACAUGCAAAUUUGAUUGUCAAUCCCAUUGUCUAUAACCACUGGAACAGAGAAUCCUGCUAUACUUUUCAUAAAAUUAUUUACAGGUAUGUUCACUGCUGGAUUGAACUCAAUAAUGGGAAUGAGCAGGUCAGGGCACAGCCUGUUCUCAGUGUGGCCUGUGA